AUACGGAGGAUCCGAGCGUUAUCCGGAUUUAUUGGGGUUAAAGGGAGCGUAGGCGGACGCUUAAGUCAGCUGUGAAAGUUUGCGGCUCAACCGUACAAUUGCAGUUGAUACUGGUCGUCUUGAGUGCAGUAGAGGAAGGCGGUAUUCGCGGUUGAGCGGGGAAAUGCUUUAAUAUUACGAAGCACUCCGAUCGCGAAGGCAGCUCACCGAGCCGGAACUGACACUGAUGCUCGAAAGUGCGGGUAUCAAACAGGAUUAGAUACCCUGGUAGUCCGCACAGUAAACGAUGAAUACUCGGUGUUUGCGAUACACGGUAAGCGGCCAAGCGAAAGCGUUAAGUAUUCCACCUGGGGAGUACGCCGGCAACGGUGAAACUCAAAUGAAUUGACGGGG
RNAcentral lists this ribosomal RNA (393 nucleotides) under uncultured bacterium. Its description in RNAcentral is "partial 16S ribosomal RNA". It matches the Rfam family "Bacterial small subunit ribosomal RNA", at positions 523 to 918 of the family's 1533-position model. The record is from RNAcentral.